Molecule: antisense RNA, 87 nt
Filed under: Serratia fonticola
Lineage: Bacteria; Pseudomonadati; Pseudomonadota; Gammaproteobacteria; Enterobacterales; Yersiniaceae
Description: CopA-like RNA
Rfam family: CopA-like RNA
About the family: In several groups of bacterial plasmids, antisense RNAs regulate copy number through inhibition of replication initiator protein synthesis. These RNAs are characterised by a long hairpin structure interrupted by several unpaired residues or bulged loops.
Source: RNAcentral
AUAGAGCAACGCUUCUAUACAGUUUUGAGUGAGCCCCGUUAAUCUUUCCGACCGCCAAGUUAGAGAAGAUUAUCGGGGUUUUUGCUU